This is a non-coding RNA of Cinara cedri, 286 nucleotides long. Lineage: Eukaryota; Metazoa; Arthropoda; Insecta; Hemiptera; Aphididae. The record is from the annotation of a GenBank genome assembly.
GGACGAAUUCAAUGACUUCUCAGUAUUGGAACGUGUAGGAAUUCAGUGUGCCAGAAUAUCAAAAUAGACGGAGGAGGAUAUGUUUGGCAGGAUGGUCUUAACGGCUUUACAAACAUAUAUAUAUUACCAUUUGAUUAAAAUCAAUAAAUCGCACCGAUUUGUAUCAAAUGUUAUUAUUAUAACAUAAAAUAAUCGAGAUAUACGCCAUUAUAUUAUUGUUUAUAACGAUCAUCACUCAACUGUAUAAUUGCACGGAAAAAUGUUGAAAACUUAAAAGCUGCCGGGC